UCGGCUUGCUAAGCCGAAGGUCCCGGGUUCGAUUCCCGGUGGAUCCC
RNAcentral lists this transfer RNA (47 nucleotides) under Habropoda laboriosa. It matches the Rfam family "tRNA", at positions 26 to 71 of the family's 71-position model. Rfam says of the family: Transfer RNA (tRNA) molecules are approximately 80 nucleotides in length. Lineage: Eukaryota; Metazoa; Arthropoda; Insecta; Hymenoptera; Apidae. The record is from Rfam by way of RNAcentral.